UACGUAGGGUGCGAGCGUUGCCCGGAUUUAUUGGGCGUAAAGGGCGCGUAGGUGGCCCGCUAAGUCAGACGUGAAAUCCCUCAGCUCAACUGGGGAACUGCGUCUGAGACUGGUGGGCUUGAGUGCAGGAGAGGAACGCGGAACUCCAGGUGUAGCGGUGAAAUGCGUAGAUAUCUGGAGGAACACCGGUGGCGAAGGCGGCGUUCUGGACUGUUACUGACACUGAGGAACGAAAGCCAGGGGAGCAAACGGG
Molecule: ribosomal RNA, 253 nt
Filed under: uncultured bacterium
Lineage: Bacteria
Description: partial 16S ribosomal RNA
Rfam family: Bacterial small subunit ribosomal RNA
Source: RNAcentral